RNAcentral lists this long non-coding RNA (1856 nucleotides) under Canis lupus familiaris (dog). RNAcentral's name for it is "lncRNA (ENSCAFG00845000183.1)". Lineage: Eukaryota; Metazoa; Chordata; Mammalia; Carnivora; Canidae. The record is from RNAcentral.
GGCACAGAACAGUCCUGUAACUUACUCAAUGUCACACAUCCGGUUAAUGACAGACACAGGAUUUGAAUUCUGACAGCUUAGACUCAGAAACCAGACUCCUAAAUUCUACAGCAUACUAUUUCCCAGAGAGCAAAAUUCCAAAGAACUAUUAUUCAUUCCGAAAAAGAUAAAUGUUUAGAUGUUGGUUCACAACAUGAAGCAUUUUCUGUAACAUACUCAGUUCAGUUAACAGCAUUAACGAUUCUAUUUUGAGAAAUCCCAGCUCACAUUAAUUAGAUUUGGUUUUUCGAUACUCUUUGCUGAAUGUCUCCAGCCUGGGGUCACACCAUGAUUAUUGUAUAGAGCAGUAAUGAACGUCAGACCACCUGGAAGGACCAGCAUGCAAAGAAAGUCUCAGGACUUGCCUGGAAGAAGUAUUCCCACAUCAUCUGGGACUGGGUGGUCCCAGAGAGCAACUAUCCUGCUGUGCUUCUACCUGGGGCCAACUCUCCACUGAGAUCAGGAAGCUAUACAAUCAGUCACUAUAUCUUCAGCUGAUUGAAUUUUUCUUAAAAAAAAUUAAAAAAUGCUCUGACACAACAAAAAGUCCAGAUGAAGGGGUUCAACACUAUCAUUAAAGAUCCAGGUUCUAAAAAAAAAAAAAAAAAAAAAAAAAAAAAAAAAAAAAAGAUCCAGGUUCUUUCUCUUCCAUCACCCUGUCAUCCAUAAUGAAUUGGCUUUGUCUUGUCAUAAGAUAGGAAUUAUAGCCAAUCUGAUGAUGUCCAGAGAAAGAGGAAAUCAUCUUUUCUAGAAGAUCUUUUUCUUAUGUUUUAUUACUAGGUCACGGGUCUACUCUACACCAAUCGCUAGCAAGGGGAAAAGAGCUGCUAUGAUUGGCUGACAGAAGCCCUGUAACCGGGGACAGGAUCUCUCUCUUUAGUCAGUUGGAGGAAGGGUGGACACUCAAACUCCAUGACUCAUCAGCAAAGAAAAGGGAAAAGGAUCAUGAUGGGCCACCAACAGUGUGCACUACAGAAAGACUGAUUCCUAAUUUUGAGACUACUCACCCGUUACUUCAAAAUCUUAUUCCAGAUAAGGCCAUGAGAAGAGUGGAAAAAGCACAGAGAGAGUUUGGGAUUUCCAAAACUCAAGUCCAGGCCCACCUUUGUCUACGUGUGUGCCCUUAACUGACACUCCAUUAAUUUCCCUUUGUCCAUCAGUAAAAUGGGAGUAAUGAAAAUCUAUGUCAGGUUUGCCACGAAGCUCAAAUGAGCUAUUAUUUAUAAAAGCACUUCAUCAUUUAGGAAUACUGUACUUUCAGUUAGAAGUAACAGAAAGAUUGAAAUUGCAACACUUAAGAAGAGUUCAUUCAACAUAAGACAUCGGCAGGUGUAGGUAGGUGUAGGUAGGUAGGUAGGCAGGUGUAGAUCGGCAGGUAGGUAGGCAGGUGUAGCAGCUUCAUGGCAUCAGUGUCUCAGGAGCCUUUUAUCUUUCCAUUCUAGCUUCCUUAGGGAGGCCACUAAUUGCUUCUUGGUCACAACAUGGCAGCUGGAUCUCUAGAUAACAUUCCACAGGCAGGAAGACGUAUGCACCAACCUUGUCUAUUCCCUUCUGAGAACUCUCUCAGUGGACCUUCACUUAUAAUCUCCAGAACUGGGUGACAGGGCUAUGUCUGUCUGCAAGAGAGGCUGGAAAAGUAUUUGGUUUUUCCAGUAGGGGAAGAGGAGGGCCAGGCAGAGACGGAGUUUAGAUAAGACGACAGUAUCUUAAAUGCCACAAGCAUUUUAUAAAGUGAAAACUCUGGGCAAAUGUUCUAGUUGAAGGUUUCCAGAAUGUCAGUCAGUCAUUAAAUACAUCAUGGGUGAGGAACAGUAGAA